This is a small nucleolar RNA of Gastrolobium bilobum, 101 nucleotides long. NCBI's taxonomy places the organism in Eukaryota, Viridiplantae, Streptophyta, Magnoliopsida, Fabales, Fabaceae. The record is from RefSeq and is a predicted model, not a curated record.
UUUCAUGACGAUGAUGAUAUAUGUGAUCCCAGCUCUAUGAGACCUUCACCAUUUGAAAGGUCUGGGAAUUGAAUUUGUUCCACAUUUGUCUGAGCCUUAGA